This 253-nucleotide ribosomal RNA is filed under the name uncultured bacterium. RNAcentral describes it as "partial 16S ribosomal RNA". It matches the Rfam family "Bacterial small subunit ribosomal RNA", at positions 524 to 776 of the family's 1533-position model. The record is from RNAcentral.
UACAGAGGCCUCGAGCGUUAGGCGGAAUCACUGGGCUUAAAGCGUGUGUAGGCGGAUUGGUAAGUACCUUGUGAAAUCCCACAGCUUAACUGUGGAACUGCUCGGUAUACUGCUGAUCUUGAGCCACUCAGGGGCUACCGGAACAAAUGGUGGAGCGGUGAAAUGCGUAGAUAUCAGGAGGAACACCGGUGGCGAAGGCGGGUCUCUGGGCCGAUACUGACGCUGAGGAGCGAAAGCGUGGGGAGCGAACAGG